Long non-coding RNA from Glycine soja, 1087 nucleotides. RefSeq lists it as uncharacterized. The record is from RefSeq and is a predicted model, not a curated record. The transcript has 4 exons. NCBI's taxonomy places the organism in Eukaryota, Viridiplantae, Streptophyta, Magnoliopsida, Fabales, Fabaceae.
AGCCUCUAACUCCCCAUCUACCUAUUAUCAUCUAUCACUCUCACGCCUUUGAUUAUUCUUAUCACAUGAAAUUUACACAAUAAAAUCCAACAUCUUCCCUUGUUAUCAUCCAAUAGACUACUAGAUUCAUCAAAGAUUCAUGAGUCAGGCAACAAAGUUCCAUUCAUGGACCUUUAUUAGAGAUCUACUCAAAUGGAAAUCAUUGAGCAUGCUUUAUAUUUCUUCACCUUCUCUUUUAUGCUUUGCUCUAUUCUUUAUUCUAGCCAUGGACAACAAACAUCUUCAACGACCAUGAUUUUCUUGAUUAAUUAAUUAAGACAGGUAUUGCAGCAGGUCAGCUGCCACAGAAACUAUCACAGGAACCUUGCUGACGGACUGAAAAUAGCAGGAAGGUGGUGGUGCAACAUCAAUGUGCUGGAGAUGAAAGAUGAGCUAGUGCUUUUUAACAAAAGAUUAACAUCUCCGAACGUUGUAAAAGCUCACUUAGGAGCUGAGUGGGAAGCAGAACGUUGUUCAACAAAAGAUGCUCUUUCCUGCUGAGUGGGUGCAUAAAUUAGUUUAGUGUGAAUGGCUGUAUGACAAGUUUCUGGUCAUGGAGGUUCUCCAAAACAACCGUGUUGGAAACGAGGUUCAACAUUGUCACCAACGCUCAACUAUCUUUGCACUCAAAGCUAGCUUGCUGUGAUGGAAUUUGUGAAUGUGAAAACUCUAGCUGUAUCAAAGAGAGAUGGGGAAGCGACUCUUUUCUUUUUCAGCAGGAACAUAAACGGCCUUCGUCAGACUUUCAGCCAAAGAGAAUUAAUUGACUUCGGGCUCGCACCCUAUGUGCUCGAUCCGAUCAACGAAAAUCAAUCCUGAAAUAACAAUAGAAAUGGUUAAGUAAGUACGCGAAUCUUGACAGUUUUUGGAGAAAGCGUCUGUUCACGUCAGGGCCCUUUGAAGGAAGAAAAUGAUUUAUGUACGUAGUACUCAUAUCAGCUUCGAAAAAUAGUAAUAUAUAAAAUAUUGUAUGAAGAAAAUGAUUUAUGUAAUCCAAAACGAUAGAAAAUAAAAUAAUUGUAAAAUAUAAAUUGUUAUUUUAUAUAGA